GACGAACGCUGGCGGCGUGCCUAAUACAUGCAAGUAGAACGCUGACUACUUUAGCUUGCUAGAGUGGAAGGAGUUGCGAACGGGUGAGUAACGCGUAGGUAACCUGCCUACUAGCGGGGGAUAACUAUUGGAAACGAUAGCUAAUACCGCAUAACAGUGUUUAACACAUGUUAGAUGCUUGAAAGAUGCAAUUGCAUCACUAGUAGAUUGACCUGCGGUGUAGUAGCUAGUUGGUGGGGUAACGGCACACCAAGGCGACGAUACAUAGCCGACCUGAGAGGGUGAUCGGCCACACUGGGACUGAGACACGGCCCAGACUCCUACGGGAGGCAGCAGUAGGGAAUCUUCGGCAAUGGGGGCAACCCUGACCGAGCAACGCCGCGUGAGUGAAGAAGGUUUUCGGAUCGUAAAGCUCUGUUGUAAGAGAAGAACGUGUGUGAGAGUGGAAAGUUCACACAGUGACGGUAACUUACCAGAAAGGGACGGCUAACUACGUGCCAGCCGCCGCGGUAA
Molecule: ribosomal RNA, 513 nt
Filed under: uncultured bacterium
Lineage: Bacteria
Description: partial 16S ribosomal RNA
Rfam family: Bacterial small subunit ribosomal RNA
Source: RNAcentral